RNAcentral lists this ribosomal RNA (200 nucleotides) under uncultured cyanobacterium. Its description in RNAcentral is "partial 16S ribosomal RNA". It matches the Rfam family "Bacterial small subunit ribosomal RNA", at positions 28 to 256 of the family's 1533-position model. The record is from RNAcentral. Lineage: Bacteria; Bacillati; Cyanobacteriota.
GAUGAACGCUGGCGGUCUGCUUAACACAUGCAAGUCGAACGGACCCUUCGGGGUUAGUGGCGGACGGGUGAGUAACGCGUGAGAAUCUGCCUUCAGGUCUGGGACAACAGAAGGAAACUUCUGCUAAUCCGGGAUGAGUCCUUUUAGGUAAAGAUAAAUUGCCUGGAGAUGAGCUCGCGUCUGAUUAGCUAGUUGGUAGU